GACAGAGGGUGCAAACGUUGCUCGGAAUUACUGGGCGUAAAGCGCGUGUAGGCGGGAAGAUAAGUCGGGUGUGAAAUCCCUGGGCUCAACCUAGGAACUGCAUCCGAAACUGCCUUUCUGGAGUGAUGGAGAGGAAAGCGGAAUUCCCGGUGUAGAGGUGAAAUUCGUAGAUAUCGGGAGGAACACCAGUGGCGAAGGCGGCUUACUAAGGCGAUACUGACGCUGAGGCACGAAAGCGUGGGGAUCGAACAGG
This 253-nucleotide ribosomal RNA is filed under the name uncultured bacterium. RNAcentral's name for it is "partial 16S ribosomal RNA". It matches the Rfam family "Bacterial small subunit ribosomal RNA", at positions 524 to 776 of the family's 1533-position model. The record is from RNAcentral.